Molecule: long non-coding RNA, 226 nt
Filed under: Brassica rapa (field mustard)
Lineage: Eukaryota; Viridiplantae; Streptophyta; Magnoliopsida; Brassicales; Brassicaceae
Description: long non-coding RNA (BRAP_LNC001200)
Source: RNAcentral
GUCAGCAAAACUAUAAAUCCUAGACCCUAAACCUUAAGAUUUACCCAACAUUUUAGAAUUUAUCCAAGGAUUUAGGGUUUAUCCAAGAAUUUAGGAUCUAGUGUUUAGGAUUUAUGGUUUUGUAACAAUGUUAAAAAAAAUCUUUUUUUUGACAGCUAGUUCUAUUUUUUAUUUAUUUUAUUUAAAAAACAUAUUAUGAUUUAACAAAUUUUUAUUAUUAUUUUUU